Molecule: transfer RNA, 74 nt
Organism: Candidatus Nanopusillus sp.
Lineage: Archaea; Nanobdellati; Nanobdellota; Candidatus Nanoarchaeia; Nanoarchaeales; Nanopusillaceae
Rfam family: tRNA
About the family: Transfer RNA (tRNA) molecules are approximately 80 nucleotides in length. Their secondary structure includes four short double-helical elements and three loops (D, anti-codon, and T loops).
Source: Rfam
GGGACCGUAGUCCAGCCUGGAAGGAUGUCGGUUUGGGGUACCGGUGGUCCCGGGUUCAAGUCCCGGCGGUCCCA